Molecule: ribosomal RNA, 478 nt
Filed under: uncultured bacterium
Lineage: Bacteria
Description: partial 16S ribosomal RNA
Rfam family: Bacterial small subunit ribosomal RNA
Source: RNAcentral
GACGAACGCUGGCGGCGUGCUUAACACAUGCAAGUCGAACGGUAAGGCCCUUCGGGGUACACGAGUGGCGAACGGGUGAGUAACACGUGGGUGAUCUGCCCUGCACUUCGGGAUAAGCCUGGGAAACUGGGUCUAAUACCGGAUAGGACCACUGCCUGCAUGGGUGGUGGUGGAAAGCUUUUGCGGUGUGGGAUGGGCCCGCGGCCUAUCAGCUUGUUGGUGGGGUGAUGGCCUACCAAGGGGACGACGGGUAGCCGGCCUGUGGGGGUGACCGGCCACACUGGGACUGAGAUACGGCCCAGACUCCUACGGGAGGCAGCAGUGGGGAAUAUUGCACAAUGGGCGCAAGCCUGAUGCAGCGACGCCGCGUGAGGGAUGACGGCCUUCGGGUUGUAAACCUCUUUCAGCACCGACGAAGCGCAAGUGACGGUAGGUGCAGAAGAAGGACCGGCCAACUACGUGCCAGCCGCCGCCGUAA